AGAAAAUAAAUAAAAUACUCCUAAAAAACCAUGGCUGCUUAAAAAGAGACACCUAACUCUGUAGCAGAGCACCCCAUUUUUCCACCAAUCAGAAGGCCAGAGCACAAUGGAUCACAUCCAAUCAAACAGUUGGUCUAAUUAACCACAACAAGCAUGGCGGAAUGGAAACAACAGAAAGGACAAUGGAUAAAGGAUGAUGUCAGAGGGGACUAUGUGCCAUACUGCAUGAUCAUCUUGAUGGUAUACUGCAAGGAUGGGAUUCUAUCACACAACAGGCCUAGGGGGGUAAACACUGUGGUGCAGUCCAUCAGCACGGGGCCACACGGAGCCGACCUUCUGCAGUCCAUUUCCCUCCACCCACAGAGGAAAUACACUGCGCUUUGUUUAUGCUUCAGGGGCCUCCACUGUUCAGAAAUGUGAGAACGGCAGAGAAGAGGAGGGAGACAGAACUUAUCUUCUACUUUCCAUGAGAUUUAGAGGUUUUUACGAAUUAAAAAAAGAAGACACCUCAGUCCCAGCAGAUGGUUGUUGGGAGCCGCGUGUUCUUAACAAUCUGUAAUUCCCCCGUUUAAAGAUGUUCUGUGGUCACCCACUCUGCCCUCAGGACUGUAUCUGCCCUCACAUUAUUAAACUCUGCAUAGAGAACAGUCUGGCAUUGCUGGCCCGAUAGAAAUGUUUUGACACCGGCACCGUGCCGCCCUCUCACCAGACGCAAUCACAUCGGUUUACCUUCCAAAACACAACGCCAUCUAUUUAUUUAUUUUUUUAUUUAUCCUGCAAAAUGGAUUUUUUUUUUUUUUUGUCUCUCGCUCUUAAACCCUCCAUUCUUCUCCCCCAAAGAGGUGCCUCUGUUCACUGCAGAUAAAUAGGAAUUCCAAACUCCAACGCUUCAUUUGUCAUGGUAUGAAAUCCAAGAGUGGAAUCUAGAAAUAGCUCCAGCAAUGUUAAUGUGCAGUGCCUGAGGCCUGAUAACAUGUAGGAGGUUUUUAGUGAUAUUUGCCUCUUGCAUAUUUUGUUCCGGGAUUUUUUUCUUUUCUUUUUCUUUUUUUUUUUUUAAGAAAGAGUAGGAAAAAAAAACAAGAUCUGCACUUUUUUGCUGCAAAUAUUGUGAAAUGAUAUUCCUUUUUCCUCCACACUGGCUGAGCCCAUUAUUUGGCUAUGACAUUACAGUUUUAAUUGAAUUGAAUGCAAUUUUCUCUUUAAGAAAACUUUUAAUUAAACACCAUAUGGACAGAUCGUGGGGAGAAGUGGCCUCCACAAAGUUCCCUGAGGGAAAUUUGCGGUAUAAUUAAGAAUAUGAACUGUAAUGACACUCCGGGAUUUAAUGAAACUUGCAAUGCAAAUAGGGCUAUGUAUAACCAGCAUUCAUCUGACAAAGUGAGUGAAGUUUGGAGAUGCGUCUAGAGAAACCUUGUUCCCC
Molecule: long non-coding RNA, 1420 nt
Organism: Cyprinus carpio (common carp)
Lineage: Eukaryota; Metazoa; Chordata; Actinopteri; Cypriniformes; Cyprinidae
Source: Ensembl